ACUCCAGUGGCCUAAGUGGUUAGAUCGUUUGCCUCGAAUGCAGAUGGUCGUGGGUUCGAAUACCGUCCGAGUC
This is a non-coding RNA of Potamilus streckersoni, 73 nucleotides long. NCBI's taxonomy places the organism in Eukaryota, Metazoa, Mollusca, Bivalvia, Unionida, Unionidae. The record is from the annotation of a GenBank genome assembly.